GGGCGCGUAGUUCAGCCUGGAAGAACGGCCGUGUAAUGGGUCAAUAUUAUUGUGAUCGUGAGUCCGCGCGGCACAAUCACAAUCCCAAUGCUCAUCUGACUCACCACGGACAGCCCGGGGUUCAAAUCCUCGCGUGCCCA
This 140-nucleotide transfer RNA is filed under the name Salinarchaeum sp. IM2453. RNAcentral's name for it is "tRNA-OTHER". The record is from RNAcentral. Lineage: Archaea; Methanobacteriati; Methanobacteriota; Halobacteria; Halobacteriales; Natronoarchaeaceae.